This 77-nucleotide transfer RNA is filed under the name Entomoplasma ellychniae. RNAcentral describes it as "tRNA-Met". It matches the Rfam family "tRNA". From Rfam's summary of the family: Transfer RNA (tRNA) molecules are approximately 80 nucleotides in length. Their secondary structure includes four short double-helical elements and three loops (D, anti-codon, and T loops). The record is from RNAcentral. RNAcentral also lists the same sequence under 1 other name. Lineage: Bacteria; Bacillati; Mycoplasmatota; Mollicutes; Entomoplasmatales; Entomoplasmataceae.
GGACCUUUAGCUCAGUUGGUUAGAGCAUCCGGCUCAUAACCGGACGGUCACUGGUUCAAGUCCAGUAAGGUCCACCA